RNAcentral lists this ribosomal RNA (497 nucleotides) under uncultured bacterium. RNAcentral's name for it is "partial 16S ribosomal RNA". It matches the Rfam family "Bacterial small subunit ribosomal RNA", at positions 28 to 507 of the family's 1533-position model. The record is from RNAcentral.
GAUGAACGCUGGCGGCGUGCCUAAUACAUGCAAGUCGAGCGAACGGACGAGAAGCUUGCUUUUCUGAUGUUAGCAGCGGACGGGUGAGUAACACGUGGAUAACCUACCUAUAAGACUGGGAUAACUUCGGGAAACCGGAGCUAAUACCGGAUAAUAUUUUGAACCGCAUGGUUCAAAAGUGAAAGACGGUCUUGCUGUCACUUAUAGAUGGAUCCGCGCUGCAUUAGCUAGUUGGUAAGGUAACGGCUUACCAAGGCAACGAUGCAUAGCCGACCUGAGAGGGGGAUGGGCCAAACUGGAACUGAGACACGGUCCAGACUCCUACGGGAGGCAGCAGUAGGGAAUCUUCCGCAAAGGGCGAAAGCCUGACGGAGCAACGCCGCGUGAGUGAUGAAGGUCUUCGGAUCGUAAAACUCUGUUAUUAGGGAAGAACAUAUGUGUAAGUAACUGUGCACAUCUUGACGGUACCUAAUCAGAAAGCCACGGCUAACUACGUG